AUUGAACGCUGGCGGCAGGCCUAACACAUGCAAGUCGAGCGGUAGAGAGAAGCUUGCUUCUCUUGAGAGCGGCGGACGGGUGAGUAAUGCCUAGGAAUCUGCCUGGUAGUGGGGGAUAACGUUCGGAAACGGACGCUAAUACCGCAUACGUCCUACGGGAGAAAGCAGGGGACCUUCGGGCCUUGCGCUAUCAGAUGAGCCUAGGUCGGAUUAGCUAGUUGGUGGGGUAAUGGCUCACCAAGGCGACGAUCCGUAACUGGUCUGAGAGGAUGAUCAGUCACACUGGAACUGAGACACGGUCCAGACUCCUACGGGAGGCAGCUGUGGGGAAUAUUGGACAAUGGGCGAAAGCCUGAUCCAGCCAUGCCGCGUGUGUGAAGAAGGUCUUCGGAUUGUAAAGCACUUUAAGUUGGGAGGAAGGGCAGUAAAUUAAUACUUUGCUGUUUUGACGUUACCGACAGAAUAAGCACCGGCUAACUCUGUG
RNAcentral lists this ribosomal RNA (484 nucleotides) under uncultured bacterium. RNAcentral describes it as "partial 16S ribosomal RNA". It matches the Rfam family "Bacterial small subunit ribosomal RNA", at positions 30 to 507 of the family's 1533-position model. The record is from RNAcentral.